RNAcentral lists this ribosomal RNA (500 nucleotides) under uncultured bacterium. RNAcentral describes it as "partial 16S ribosomal RNA". It matches the Rfam family "Bacterial small subunit ribosomal RNA", at positions 30 to 523 of the family's 1533-position model. The record is from RNAcentral.
AUUGAACGCUGGCGGAAUGCUUUACACAUGCAAGUCGAACGGCAGCACGGACUUCGGUCUGGUGGCGAGUGGCGAACGGGUGAGUAAUGUAUCGGAACGUGCCCAGUCGUGGGGGAUAACGUAGUGAAAAUUACGCUAAUACCGCAUACGAUCUAUUGAUGAAAGCGGGGGAUCGCAAGACCACGCGCGAUUGGAGCGGCCGAUAUCAGAUUAGGUAGUUGGUGGGGUAAAGGCCCACCAAGCCAACGAUCUGUAGCUGGUCUGAGAGGGCGGCCAGCAACCCUGGAACUGAGACACGGUCCAGACUCCUACGGGGGGCGGCGGUGGGGAAUUUUGGACAAUGGGCGAAAGCCUGAUCAAGCCAUUCCGCGUGCAGGAUGAAGGCCCUCGGGUUGUAAACUGCUUUUGUACAGAACGAAAAGGUUUCUACUAAUACUAGGAGCUCAUGACGGUACUGUAAGAAUAAGCACCGGCUAACUACGUGCCAGCAGCCGCGGUAA